Non-coding RNA from Triticum aestivum (bread wheat), 135 nucleotides. Lineage: Eukaryota; Viridiplantae; Streptophyta; Magnoliopsida; Poales; Poaceae. The record is from Rfam.
AAAGUACUCCCUCCAUCUGAAAAUACUUGUCAUCAAAAUGAAUAAAAAGGGAUGUAUCUUGAACUAAUAUAUGUCUAGAUACAUCCCCUUUUAUUCAUUUUGAUGACAAGUAUUUCCGGACGGGGGGGGGGGGUG